GAUGAACGCUGGCGGCGUGCUUAACACAUGCAAGUCGAACGGAAAGGCUCCUGCUUGCAGGGGUACUCGAGUGGCGAACGGGUGAGCAACACGUGGGUGAUCUGCCCUGCACUUCGGGAUAAGCCUGGGAAACUGGGUCUAAUACCGGAUAGGACCACAUUUUGGAUGGUGUGGUGGAAAGUUUUUCGGUGUGGGAUGAGCUCGCGGCCUAUCAGCUUGUUGGUGGGGUAAUGGCCUACCAAGGCGUCGACGGGUAGCCGGCCUGAGAGGGUGUACGGCCACAUUGGGACUGAGAUACGGCCCAGACUCCUACGGGAGGCAGCAGUGGGGAAUAUUGCACAAUGGGCGCAAGCCUGAUGCAGCGACGCCGCGUGGGGGAUGACGGCCUUCGGGUUGUAAACUCCUUUCGCUAGGGACGAAGCGUUUUUGUGACGGUACCUGGAGAAGAAGCACCGGCUAACUACGU
This 466-nucleotide ribosomal RNA is filed under the name uncultured bacterium. RNAcentral's name for it is "partial 16S ribosomal RNA". It matches the Rfam family "Bacterial small subunit ribosomal RNA", at positions 28 to 506 of the family's 1533-position model. The record is from RNAcentral.